Molecule: unclassified non-coding RNA, 204 nt
Filed under: Hevea brasiliensis (rubber tree)
Lineage: Eukaryota; Viridiplantae; Streptophyta; Magnoliopsida; Malpighiales; Euphorbiaceae
Source: RNAcentral
GGGAGGAGUUUGUUGGUGAAAAUGUGGCUUUUUGCGAAUGCCACUGCAAGUAGAACAAAUUUUUGAGUCACUGGCUUUGACUGUUGGAUAUAAUGUAAUGUUGUCGGCAUAGCGCGGGUUUCUUGUGUUAGUAGAACUCCACGAAUGAUGCAAUUUAGAAUGUGUUGAUGGCAAGCUAGCCUAGCUAGGUUUCUCCAAUCUUUC